Molecule: long non-coding RNA, 409 nt
Organism: Peromyscus eremicus (cactus mouse)
Lineage: Eukaryota; Metazoa; Chordata; Mammalia; Rodentia; Cricetidae
Exons: 2
Source: RefSeq, a predicted model, not a curated record
UCAGACUGACUCUGUCUUCCUUUACGCGCCUGGUCUCCUUUCUCUCUCGCCCCCAUUGAUCUUUCAGGAGGUGCCUCCUCGGGUCUCAUCAAAUAACCUGGCCCGCGGGACCGGGCAAGUGGCGCCCGAACGUGGGGCUCGAGGCACGGUGACCUGCCGGACGACGGACAACGGACAACGGAAGGGGCCCCGGAGAGGAUCAGGGUAGAGACGCCCGGACCGCAUCACUCGUGCAACGCGGGAGAGUCUUGAGGUUUCCACUUGGCUGACAGAUACAUCCAAGCAUCAUUUGCUGGUGACAACCUACUGCAAACGACUAUGAGCCCUGAACUUGCUGAAAGCUGAUAUGGACCAAUUCAGCCGAUAUGCAUACCAUCUCUUCAGCUGGUCAAUAAAACGUUCCCUCUUG